GCGUCUGUGACCGCGGAGGGACAUUGCUGGAACGCGCCCCUGGCGCACCCAGAAAC
RNAcentral lists this ribosomal RNA (56 nucleotides) under Diaporthe ampelina. RNAcentral's name for it is "partial 18S ribosomal RNA". The record is from RNAcentral. Lineage: Eukaryota; Fungi; Ascomycota; Sordariomycetes; Diaporthales; Diaporthaceae.